UAAGACACGGCCAUUGAUACUGUUUGACUUGAAUAGUAUGGAAGUAACUAGAAUAUGUAGUGUAGCGGUGAAAUGCUUAGAUAUUACAUGGAAUACCAAUUGCGAAGGCAGGUUACUACGUAUUUAUUGACGCUGAUGAAGAAAGCGUGGGGAGCGAACAGGAUUAGAUACCCUGGUAGUCCACGCCGUAAACGAUGGAUACUAGCUGUUCGGUUUCGGACUGAGUGCUAAGCGAAAGUGAUAAGUAUCCCACCUGGGGAGUACGUUCGCAAGGAAACUAAAGGAAUUGACGGGGGCCCGCACAAGCGGUGGAGCUGUGGUUUAAUUCGAUGAUACGCGAGGAACCUUACCAGGGCUUAAAUGUAGAUUGACAGAUUUGGAAACAGAUUUUUCUUCGGACAAUUUACAAGGUGCUGCAUGGUUGUCGUCAGCUCGUGCCGUGAGGGUCAGGUUAAGUCCUAUAACGAGCGCAACCCCUAUUGUUAGUUACCAGCGCGUAGUGGCGGGGACUCUAGCAAGACUGCCGGUGCAAACCGUGAGGAAGGUGGGGAUGACGUCAAAUCAUCACGGCCCUUACGUCCUGGGCUAACACGUGCUACAAUGCAAGUACAGAGCAGCUACCUGGCAAGGAUGCGAAUCUCCAUUGUCUCAGUUCGGAUUGGAGUCUGCAACUACUCUAUGAAGCUGGAAUCGCUAGUAAUCGGAUAAGCCAUGAUCGUGAAUACGUUCCCGGGCCUUGUACACACCGCCCGUCAAGCCAUGGAAGCUGGGGGUACCUGAAGUCGGUGACCGCAAGGAGCUGCCUAGGGUAAAACUAG
This 818-nucleotide ribosomal RNA is filed under the name Myroides sp. Its description in RNAcentral is "bacterial SSU rRNA". It matches the Rfam family "Bacterial small subunit ribosomal RNA", at positions 614 to 1471 of the family's 1533-position model. Lineage: Bacteria; Pseudomonadati; Bacteroidota; Flavobacteriia; Flavobacteriales; Flavobacteriaceae. The record is from RNAcentral.